AAUACGGAGAGUUUGAUCCUGGCUCAGGAUGAACGCUGGCGGCGUGCCUAACACAUGCAAGUCGAACGGGAAUCAUUUUUUCGGAAAUGAAG
This 92-nucleotide ribosomal RNA is filed under the name Anaerolineae bacterium. RNAcentral's name for it is "partial 16S ribosomal RNA". It matches the Rfam family "Bacterial small subunit ribosomal RNA", at positions 1 to 91 of the family's 1533-position model. Lineage: Bacteria; Bacillati; Chloroflexota; Anaerolineae. The record is from RNAcentral.